RNAcentral lists this ribosomal RNA (328 nucleotides) under uncultured eukaryote. RNAcentral's name for it is "partial 18S ribosomal RNA". It matches the Rfam family "Eukaryotic small subunit ribosomal RNA", at positions 1470 to 1796 of the family's 1831-position model. The record is from RNAcentral.
CCCUUAGAUGUUCUGGGCCGCACGCGCGCUACACUGACUACUUCAACGAGUUGUUUCCUUGAUCGAAAGGUCUGGGUAAUCUUUGAAAGGUAGUCGUGAUGGGGAUGGAUCCUUGCAAUUUUUGAUCUUCAACGAGGAAUUCCUAGUAAACGCAAGUCAUCAGCUUGCAUUGAUUACGUCCCUGCCCUUUGUACACACCGCCCGUCGCACCUACCGAUUGAAUGGUCCGGUGAAUCUUUAGGACUGUGGCUGAGGCCUUGCCUUGUGCGGGUCUGGCCGUGGGAAUUUAGUUAAACCUUACCAUUUAGAGGAAGGUGAAGUCGUAACA